RNAcentral lists this ribosomal RNA (492 nucleotides) under uncultured bacterium. Its description in RNAcentral is "partial 16S ribosomal RNA". It matches the Rfam family "Bacterial small subunit ribosomal RNA", at positions 29 to 507 of the family's 1533-position model. The record is from RNAcentral.
AGUGAACGCUGGCGGUAGGCCUAACACAUGCAAGUCGAACGGCAGCACAGUAAGAGCUUGCUCUUACGGUUGGCGAGUGGCGGACGGGUGAGGAAUACAUCGGAAUCUACUUUUUCGUGAGGGAUAACGUAGGGAAACUUACGCUAAUACCGCAUACGACCUACGGGUGAAAGCAGGGGAUCUUCGGACCUUGCGCGAUUGAAUGAGCCGAUGUCGGAUUAGCUAGUUGGCGGGGUAAAGGCCCACCAAGGCGACGAUCCGUAGCUGGUCUGAGAGGAUGAUCAGCCACACUGGAACUGAGACACGGUCCAGACUCCUACGGGAGGCAGCAGUGGGGAAUAUUGGACAAUGGGCGCAAGCCUGAUCCAGCCAUACCGCGUGGGUGAAGAAGGCCUUCGGGUUGUAAAGCCCUUUUGUUGGGAAAGAAAAGCAGCAGGUUAAUACCCCGCUGUUCUGACGGUACCCAAAGAAUAAGCACCGGCUAACUUCGUG